This 68-nucleotide small RNA is filed under the name Rhodococcus jostii RHA1. RNAcentral's name for it is "ASdes TB sRNA". It matches the Rfam family "ASdes TB sRNA". The record is from Rfam by way of RNAcentral. Lineage: Bacteria; Bacillati; Actinomycetota; Actinomycetes; Mycobacteriales; Nocardiaceae.
AGCUGGACGGGGUCGACGGCGCGGGUCACAACGAGGUAAUCGCGCAUCACGAUGCCGUGACGGUUCUC